Molecule: ribosomal RNA, 490 nt
Filed under: uncultured bacterium
Lineage: Bacteria
Description: partial 16S ribosomal RNA
Rfam family: Bacterial small subunit ribosomal RNA
Source: RNAcentral
GAUGAACGCUGGCUACAGGCUUAACACAUGCAAGUCGAGGGGAAACGCCGGGGAAGCUUGCUUCCCCGGGCGUCGACCGGCGCAAGGGUGAGUAACGCGUAUCCAACCUGCCUCUGACUGAGGGAUAACCCGUCGACAGUCGGCCUAAUAACGCAUUGCAUCGUCUUCGGGCAUCCAACGACGAUUGAAGAUUUCAUCGGUCAGAGAUGGGGAUGCGUCUGAUUAGCUUGUUGGCGGGGUAACAGCCCACCAAGGCGACGAUCAGUAGGGGUUCUGAGAGGAAGGUCCCCCACAUUGGAACUGAGACACGGUCCAAACUCCUACGGGAGGCAGCAGUGAGGAAUAAUGGUCGAUGGGCGAGAGCCUGAACCAGCCAGGUAGCGUGCAGGAUGACGGCCCUAUGAGUUGUAAACUGCUUUUAUGCGGGGAUAAAGUGAGGGACGUGUCCUUCAUUGCAGGUACCGCAUGAAUAAGGACCGGCUAAUUCCGU